This 357-nucleotide ribosomal RNA is filed under the name uncultured Smithella sp. RNAcentral's name for it is "bacterial SSU rRNA". It matches the Rfam family "Bacterial small subunit ribosomal RNA", at positions 1026 to 1382 of the family's 1533-position model. Lineage: Bacteria; Pseudomonadati; Thermodesulfobacteriota; Syntrophia; Syntrophales; Smithellaceae. The record is from RNAcentral.
AGCCCAAGACAGGUGCUGCAUUGGCUGUCGUCAGUCUCGUGUCGUGAGAUGUUGGGUUAAGUCCCGCAACGAGCGCAACCCCUGUCUUUAAUUGCCAUCAUUAAGUUGGGCACUUUAAAGAGACUGCCGGUGUUAAACCGGAGGAAGGUGGGGAUGACGUCAAGUCCUCAUGGCCUUUAUGCCUAGGGCUACACACGCGCUACAAUGGGUGGUACAAAGAGCAGCCAACUCGCGAGAGCGCGCUAAUCCCAUAAAGCCGGUCUCAGUCCGGAUCGCAGUCUGCAACUCGACUGCGUGAAGUUGGAAUCGCUAGUAAUCGUAGAUCAGCAUGCUACGGUGAAUACGUUCCCGGGCCUU